UUAGUCUACCGCGAGAGUUUCAUGCGAGAACAUGGUCGUGGAUUGUAACUGAAGGUCUUCUCAACCAUCGCUUUAACCAUGCUUUCAAGACGUCGAAGAAAUUCCGGUUUUCCUCAUAAUAACGAUCUUUUGUUGGUUGGCUGUGCGAUCGUGGUGCAUUUCGAUUGAUUGAGAUGCUUCGAAGAUUUUCCCCAAAUGAUUUAGUUUCGAAAAAGUGAUUUUACCAAUGUGGUCUUUUAAUGGAUUGAACCCUGGAAAAUUAGCCUUGGAUAAUAACGUUUGACGGGUUUUCUGCAGUAAUGAAGAGGAAAUAAUAUAAUUUGUGGUGAAGUCGAGCAAAUAAUAGAUAGUUGAUGCAUUUAACUAGCGAAAAUCGACAAGAAAAUUCGAAACGAUUAUAGUGAAAUUAAAUCUUAGUUUCUAUACUAGAUUAUCUAAGAGUGGCCUUAGUUUAAAAAGAGAUUGAACGCCCUGUUUACCGAUGAUUUCUUCAUUUUGUUUCUGUGCAGACAUUAACUGCUUUGCCUCGAAGAAUGAUAGAUACAUUUUUGCGUUAAAAUCAAGGUUAGGUGGUCCCAAUGCUGGAGGUGGAGAUAUGUUCUGCUAUGAACAACUUAAUAUGACAUUUAUACAGAGUUCUUGGUUUAGUUAGAACAAAAAAUUUCCCGGAAACCAGAUCGAAAUGCAAAAGAUAGGAUCGAAUCCUCGAAAAUAUAAAAAUUGCCGUCACGAAGCAUUCACUCCUUCAACAAGUCCAGUUAGUCAUUACGAUGGCGAAGAUAUUCCCAGUAUGGAAUUACUGAAGAUCAACUACGUGAAAUCCAGCAAAUCCAAACGAAACUCGUAUUCAGAUGAUCGUCCAAGAUCGGAGGACCAGACGAAACCAAGCCUGUACAAAUAUGCAGUCUAUAAGAAACUCAACCGGUCCAGCCACCAGUUGGACGCUCAAGAAUUUUUCCGACAAUGUAGCGCUAUGGAAGGGAUAUCGUCGGACCCAAAGGGUGCGCCUCAGAAGCUCCGAAGGUCAAACUCUCAUCACGACAGUGAUGAUGAAGCAAAUGACAAUAGCUGGAAUUGUGAGUCCCAGCUAGCAGCUCUUAGCCAGGUGACUACCCGCGCGAACCGACUGGAGAAGAUACAGAAAUCAAGUCCUGUCCGGCCUCGCAGCUACCACCAGCACCGCAGAUGUACAAGUCCAGAUGAUGACUCUACUGACUUAACUCGGAUAAGUCAACGGUUUGAGCAAGUCUAUCGCAGCAGGUGCAAUUCACCUGUUUCUCGCGAUCCUAUCAAGUUCAAGAGCUUUGUGGAUGAUCAUCCUCAAGAUCGAAGCACUUCCAGUAGCAACAAAAAAGAACAGACGGCACACACGCAAAACCAUCAAAAGCGAGCAGACGAGAUGAAUUCAAGAAUGAAUACCAAAAUCAGGCAAAUGUUCGAUUUUGAUCACUCUCGGUCCACACAAUCGAGAUCGCAAUCAAUAGAUCGAAGCCAAUCACCAACAGCAGCAGCGAAAAAGCACAAUAAAUGCAGCCAAAACCAUGAAAGCAAUAAAAGAAAUAAACAAAAGCAUGUUAAAUCGAAAGCAAUUAUCGAAUCACCGUUCGAUCGACGAUCGAUGAUCAAUCAACAGCAGCAAAGCGAAAUUGGGAAUAAGAAAGCAGUUGCUUCGGGUAACCAUAUCACGUUGAACGUUGCUACGGAUGGAGUACGAGGAGCCUCAUCAUCAGCAAAAUCAGCAAGAUCACCAACAAGGUCACCAGCUCGCUCAGAAAAUCCAGUGCGAUCAGGUCGCCAUCUUCCCACUGCCAUUUUAGAACCUGUUUGCAAACACGAUCAACCAUCAGUAACGGGUUCGUGUGGUUACAAAAAUUGCAACAUCAAUAAUUGUCCCAUGUCCCAUUCAUCACAACCACCAUCUCGGGCGACUGAUGAGUGCCAGAGGAUCGGCCAGAGCAAGAACAAUAAAGACAGCAAUUCCUCCAGGAACAAGUGUAGGAAGUCAUUGAAUUGCGACAAUGACAAUAUCAGGAUGAAUUCCAAGAACAACAGCCACAGUAGCAAGUCAGUUUCAUCGGGUCACGCGAAUAAUGGUAGUUUAAUAAUCGACUUCGAUAGUCCCCACGAGAAAAGCACGAAAAUAACGGUCAAGUUGGGUGGUGAUGAAGUGAAAGAAGUGACGUCAUCGACAACUAAUAAUCGUGUUAAUAACAGUGCAAAAUCGAAAGGUAGUGAUCGUAACGAUGUACAAAAUUUCAGUGGUAAAAAUCUCACGAAAAUUUCAACGGAUGAACUGCUGCGCGCCCACAAAACAUCUACGAAUCUGAAUCUAAACAAUGCAAUCAUCCAAAGUGCUGUUAGCAACUCGCAGAAAGUCAAUGUGAAUUUCAGAAAUAUCGAAAAUCGGAAAUUCAAUGAUCUUCGAUCCAUCAAUGAUCACCAGUCGAACUCAUCGAACAAUCAUCGUUUGAAGAUUUUCGUGCAGAGCUCAUCAGUCUCUACAUCAUCGAAUGUAUCAUCGAUGAGUAGUGCAUCAGAUGUAUCAUCACUGACUGACUCCGAAAGGGAUUAUUCGUUUUUCGACUCGGAAAGGCUUCAAGGCAGUGUGAUAUCAGUUGAGGGUGGUUGUGGUGGUGGUGAUGGGUGUGAUGAUGCCGAUUGUGGAGCUGAGAGUGGGAUAUCUUCAUCGAGUGAUUUCUUAAGGAAUAGAAAUCGGGAUGGAUCGAGCUCUUAUUGUGGCAGUGGUAAGGGUAGUGGUGGAGCUGUACGAAACAAUAGUGGAUAUACGGCGUCAAAAUUGGGAUGCGAUGGUGCAAUAUUUUGGAAUAAUUGUUAUUAUUACGACGAGAAAUGCGCAUAUUGUUCAAUGUCGAGCGGUGACAAUGACGACGAACGAACUGAAUCAUUCGUAUGCGUCUGUUCCGGUAAACAAGAGAUGGAUGUACAUGACACACGGCCGAGAUCUAUGGAUGGAGUCCUCGAUUCCGGUAUAUCGUUGAAUGGCGAUACCGGUUCUAGUCCCGAUAGUGAUAUUUCAGCGCAACAUCUCCAAAAUCAACCGGACACUGAAGCCAGACGUCUUAAAAGGGGCCAUGUUUUGACGGAAUUGUUGGAAACUGAAAGAAUCUACGUUACAGAGAUGGCUUCCAUAUUGAGAGGGUAUCGAGAUCAAAUGGUUUCCGAAGAAAUGGCCUCGCUUGUGCCACCUAGUCUGCAAGGAAAGGAAGACAUUUUGUUUGGAAAUUUACAUGAAUUGUACAAAUUUCACAGUGAAGUGUUUCUAAAAGACUUGGAAAAUUGUAUUUCGACAACGGAGUUGGUCGCAUUGUGUUUUGUACAGAGGCGUGACACAUUUUAUCGGCUAUAUUCAUUCUAUUGCCAAAAUAUCCCGCGCUCGGAACGAUUACGAGAGACCCUUGUCGAUGCCCAUCUUUUCCUGCAAGAAUGCCAAAAACGUCUCGGACAUAAACUUCCACUUGCAGCUUAUCUCCUGAAGCCAGUACAACGAAUCACAAAAUAUCAAUUACUUCUUAAGGAUCUAUUAAGAUUUAGCGAUAGCGGAACAUGCACCAAAGAAUUACAAAAAGCUCUCGAUUGUAUGUUAAUUGUAUUGAAAUGUGUUAACGACUCGAUGCAUCAAAUUGCGAUAACAGGAUUCCCAUCUGAUCUAUCACAGCAGGGUGAAUUGUUAUUACAAGAUUCAUUUCAAGUUUGGACAGAAAGUAAAAAGGAUAUUAGACUAAGGUUGAAGACCCAACAGAGGCAUAUAUUCUUAUAUCAGAAAGUGAUGUUGCUCUGUAAACAAGGAUCAAAAACUGGACAUAAUAAAAGCACGUACCAAUAUAAACACCAUGUGAAUAUGUCCCAAAUUGGUUUAACUGAAUCAGUUCGCGGCGAUCCAAAACGCUUCGAAGUGUGGCUGCAAGGUCGUCAAGAAGUUCACACUAUCCAAGCGCCUAGUAUUGAGAUUAAAAACAAAUGGGUGACCGAAAUAAAGAAGGUCCUACUGAAUCAACUUGAAGAACUCAAGGGUGAAAAUAUAAAACAGUACGGACUCAACCAUAAACCACUUCGGCACACAACUUCUUGGGACACACCUUGCGCUGCAAUAAUGACAACUCAGAGAGCAAUGAGUUGCGAUACAAGUGAUAUUAAUCGCCAUUCAAAUGGAAGCGAUGAUGGUGCGCCAUCCACUCCUGGAAUGGGGUCACUUUCAUCAGAACGAGAUAGCCAGGAUGCUGGUGGCUGGAGCUCCGACUACUCAAAUAGUGAAGAUGAACUAUCGAUCAUUGAAGAUAGCAGUACGCCGACGGUCCUAAACUUCCUUGCACAGUGGGCUGUAGAUGGUGGUUCGUGCACCCGUACAACAAAAUCAAAUUCUACUUUUUAUGUUUCCGUCGAAUAACCAAAAUUGGAUAAAAAAAUCAAAUAUAUUUCCGUUGCCAAAAGUAACCAAAUAAAACGAGUCCAAAAUCAAAAAGAAAAUUCUGAUCACUAUAUAUCGAAAAUUUCAAUUGAAUAUUCUACUACUAAAAGGAGGAAGAUAAAUCUAUGAGAAAUUCACGAAAUUCACACAAAAGCAGUUCUGAUAACGAACUCAAAUUUUUUAUGUCGCUUUUUAAAUCAAUGAUGAGUAAAUGUAAAAAGUAGACACGAUUGUAAUACGUUGUUGUCUGCUGGAGAAGCGAAUUCCUAUUUCUUCCGGCAGUAGAUUUAUUGCUUUAGCGGAUUACUGCGCAGUUGGUCAUUCUGAAGUUUCAAUGAAAGAAGGUGAAACCGUUGAACUUCUUAAGAUUGGGUGCGCCGGCUGGUGGUUUGUAAGAGUAUUAGGUAAUA
Molecule: unclassified non-coding RNA, 4836 nt
Filed under: Hermetia illucens (black soldier fly)
Lineage: Eukaryota; Metazoa; Arthropoda; Insecta; Diptera; Stratiomyidae
Description: guanine nucleotide exchange factor DBS, transcript variant X1
Source: RNAcentral